Molecule: ribosomal RNA, 440 nt
Filed under: uncultured bacterium
Lineage: Bacteria
Description: partial 16S ribosomal RNA
Rfam family: Bacterial small subunit ribosomal RNA
Source: RNAcentral
CCUACGGGAGGCAGCAGUAGGGAAUAUUGCUCAAUGGGGGAAACCCUGAAGCAGCAACGCCGCGUGGAGGAUGAAGGUUUUAGGUUUGUAAACCCCUAUUGUGAGAGAAGAUAAUGACGGUUUCUCACGAAUAAGCACCUGCUAACUACGUGCCAGCAGCCGCGUUAAUACGGAGGGGGCAAGCGUUACUUGGACUCACUGGGCGUAAAGAGUGCGCAGGCGGGCUUGUAAGUCAGAUGUGAAAUCCUGUAGCUUAACUACAGAAUUGCAUUUGAAACUGUGAGUCUAGAGUGUGGGAGAGGUAGGUGGAAUUCUUGGUGUAGGGGUGAAAUGCGUAGAUAUCAGGAGGAAUACCCAUGGCGAAGGCGACCUACUGGAACAUAACUGACGCUGAGGCACGAAAGCGUGGGGAGCAAACAGGAUUAGAUACCCCAGUAGUC